GGGGCUGUAGCUCAGUGGCAGAGCACUUGCCUAGCAUGCAUGAGGCACUGGGUUCGAUUCUCAGCAGCACCA
Molecule: non-coding RNA, 72 nt
Organism: Ictidomys tridecemlineatus (thirteen-lined ground squirrel)
Lineage: Eukaryota; Metazoa; Chordata; Mammalia; Rodentia; Sciuridae
Source: Rfam